This is a long non-coding RNA of Leptopilina heterotoma, 523 nucleotides long. RefSeq lists it as uncharacterized. The record is from RefSeq and is a predicted model, not a curated record. The transcript has 2 exons. NCBI's taxonomy places the organism in Eukaryota, Metazoa, Arthropoda, Insecta, Hymenoptera, Figitidae.
GUAAAAGAAAGGUAUUAAUAAUUUAACUUCAAAAUGCGCUGUUUAUCAUCGAAAGUCAUCUUUUGCCUACUACUGACAAUUAUUGUUACUAGCGCCUCGUCGACCUCUUAUUCCGAGACGUCUUCAUUGCUUCCAAGUUUCCAUAAAACAUGUCCAUUUAUUUAAAAAAUUUUAUUGUUUUCAUAUAAUUUCUUUGAAAUAAUUUUUAUUUUUAUUUAUAGUUUCAAAAUUUAAAUUAAUUAAAAUUAAAUAAAAAUUGGAACUCCAAUGAUAUCAAUGAUAUUAAGAAGAUCGACUGUAGCUCCAUCUUUCAAGAAUAUGUGAGUUUUUAAGGUGCUAAAUUUCAUUUGGAAAUGCAUGCCUUGCAAUGGUCCUAAUGGAUCCUGUCGUCCCAGGUAGAAAUUUCAACUCAGUACUGACCAGUCACUGACAAGUUUUUCUAGAUACUGGCAAGUAAUUGACCAAGUAACUGGACAGUUUUCUACUCAAAAUCUAAAAUAAAAUAUAAUUUUUCCAAUUACUG